Molecule: ribosomal RNA, 468 nt
Filed under: uncultured bacterium
Lineage: Bacteria
Description: partial 16S ribosomal RNA
Rfam family: Bacterial small subunit ribosomal RNA
Source: RNAcentral
GACGAACGCUGGCGGCGUGCUUAACACAUGCAAGUCGAACGGAAAGGCCCUGCUUUUGUGGGGUGCUCGAGUGGCGAACGGGUGAGUAACACGUGAGUAACCUGCCCUUGACUUUGGGAUAACUUCAGGAAACUGGGGCUAAUACCGGAUAGGAGCUCCUGCUGCAUGGUGGGGGUUGGAAAGUUUCGGCGGUUGGGGAUGGACUCGCGGCUUAUCAGCUUGUUGGUGGGGUAGUGGCUUACCAAGGCUUUGACGGGUAGCCGGCCUGAGAGGGUGACCGGCCUCAUUGGGACUACGAUACGGCCCAGCCUCCUACGGGAGGCAGCAGUGGGGAAUAUUGCACAAUGGGCGGAAGCCUGAUGCAGCAACGCCGCGUGCUGGAUGACGGCCUUCGGGUUGUAAACCGCUUUCGCCUGUGACGAAGCGUGAGUGACGGUAAUGGGUAAAGAAGCACCGGCUAACUACGUG